This 302-nucleotide ribosomal RNA is filed under the name uncultured bacterium. Its description in RNAcentral is "bacterial SSU rRNA". It matches the Rfam family "Bacterial small subunit ribosomal RNA", at positions 28 to 334 of the family's 1533-position model. The record is from RNAcentral.
GAUGAACGCUGGCGGCAUGCCUAAUACAUGCAAGUCGAACGAAUCACUUCGGUGGUUAGUGGCGAACGGGUGAGUAACACGUAGGUAAUCUACCCUUUAGACGAGGAUAACGGUUGGAAACGACCGCUAAUACUGGAUAGUAUAUAGAGUCGCAUGACUUUAUAUUUAAAGUUCCGUGUGGAACACUAGAGGAGGAGCCUGCGGCGCAUUAGUUAGUUGGCGGGGUAAAGGCCCACCAAGACGAUGAUGCGUAGCCGGACUGAGAGGUUGAACGGCCACAUUGGGACUGAGACACGGCCCAG